UUGACGCGAAGGUGUAGGGUAUUGCGCAAAUACUGAACCGUUUGAGAAACAGCAUACACAUAAGUUCGCGGUAAUACGAUCAAAUAUUAUAUAGGUUUAAUACAGUAAGAACAAUAGUGCGUUUUAAUUCGAUGUCAAACAUCGUCAUCUGAUUGAUUUCGUCCUAGCCCGUUGUUGCGAUCACGCCUUAGAAGAGUCUCAAGGAAGUGUGUUAAGUGAGGAAGCAUCAUUUAAGAUUCACGAGCAAUAUUGGUUAAUAUUUCCAGUUUUAUUACAAAAAAUGAAUAUAAUUAGUAUCAUAUAAACUCGUUAUACUACUGAAGGGUUAUAUCGAGGCCGUUCACGUACAAAACACAAAGUGUUGUUGGUACAGUAACAUAACCACACUCAAUAAUUGUGUACAGCGGUCUAUAUAGAUGAAUAGCAAG
This is a long non-coding RNA of Melanaphis sacchari, 428 nucleotides long. RefSeq lists it as uncharacterized. The record is from RefSeq and is a predicted model, not a curated record. Lineage: Eukaryota; Metazoa; Arthropoda; Insecta; Hemiptera; Aphididae. The transcript is spliced from 3 exons.